Molecule: long non-coding RNA, 221 nt
Organism: Drosophila pseudoobscura
Lineage: Eukaryota; Metazoa; Arthropoda; Insecta; Diptera; Drosophilidae
Exons: 3
Source: RefSeq, a predicted model, not a curated record
UGCGUUUACGUUACGUAUACUUAACUUCCAGUGGCAACGACAGAGCAGGGGCUGGGGAAUGUGGCAGCUGUAUCCUGGACAGACGAACUGAGUCAGCACUUAAUUUUUAUUUGAUUCUCGUCUCAGUUGCGGUUCAGCUGCUUGACUUGCCACUCCGCUGUGGAGUGGGAGUCCGGGAGUCCUGACAGUCCCUGGAGUCGAGAGACAAGCCCACAGCAAAG